UUCCCUGUAGCUCAUUUGGUAGAGCAUGGUGUUUGCAACGCCAGGGUUGUGGGUUUGAUUCCCAUGGGGGAAC
RNAcentral lists this transfer RNA (73 nucleotides) under Salmo salar (Atlantic salmon). It matches the Rfam family "tRNA". Rfam says of the family: Transfer RNA (tRNA) molecules are approximately 80 nucleotides in length. Their secondary structure includes four short double-helical elements and three loops (D, anti-codon, and T loops). Further hydrogen bonds mediate the characteristic L-shaped molecular structure. tRNAs have two regions of fundamental functional importance: the anti-codon, which is responsible for specific mRNA codon recognition, and the 3' end, to which the tRNAs corresponding amino acid is attached (by aminoacyl-tRNA synthetases). tRNAs cope with the degeneracy of the genetic code in two manners: having more than one tRNA (with a specific anti-codon) for a particular amino acid; and 'wobble' base-pairing, i.e. permitting non-standard base-pairing at the 3rd anti-codon position. Lineage: Eukaryota; Metazoa; Chordata; Actinopteri; Salmoniformes; Salmonidae. The record is from Rfam by way of RNAcentral.